ACGAACGCUGGCGGCGUGCUUAACUCCUGCCAGUCGAACGGAAAGGCCCCUUUGGGGGUACUCGUGUGGCGAACGGGUGAGGAACACGUGAGUAACCUGCCCUUGACUUCGGGAUAACUUCAGGAAACUGGGGCUAAUACCGGAUAGGAAUCCUUGCUGCAUGGUGGGGGGUGGAAAGCUUCGUCGGUUUUGGUUGGACUCGUCGCUUAUCAGCUUGUUGGUUGGGUAGUGGCUUUCCAAUGCUUUGUCGGGUAGCCGGCCUGAGAGGGCGACCGGCCACAUUGGGACUGAGAUACGGCCCAGACUCCUACGGGAGGGAGAAGGGGGGAAUAUUGCACAAUGGGCGGAAGCCUGAUGCAGCAACGCCGCGUGCGGGAUGACGGCCUUCGGGUUGUAAACCGCUUUCAGCAGGGGCGAAGCUUGUGGUGACGGUACCUGCAGAAGAAGCACCGGCUAACUACGUG
RNAcentral lists this ribosomal RNA (464 nucleotides) under uncultured bacterium. RNAcentral's name for it is "partial 16S ribosomal RNA". It matches the Rfam family "Bacterial small subunit ribosomal RNA", at positions 29 to 507 of the family's 1533-position model. The record is from RNAcentral.